UGCGGUAGGAUCACCUCCUUUCAAGGAUGAUGUGUGAUACGUUGGACGUCUCCGAAAUAAAAAGACCUUAUCCUUAUGGGUAAGGCAGCCAGAAGUUCUGUCUUUGGCGUUAGAGCGCCGUCAACAUAUCCCUUCCUAUCGUUUCCCGGGCUAGUAGCUCAGUUGGUUAGAGCACACGCUUGAUAAGCGUGGGGUCGGAGGUUCAAGUCCUCCCUGGCCCACCAGAGUUGCAGUCUGAUCCGAAAGUUAUGAUUGAAUAACGGGGGCAUAGCUCAGCUGGGAGAGCACCUGCUUUGCAAGCAGGGGGUCAUCGGUUCGAUCCCGAUUGCCUCCACCAGAUCAGAAUGAUGCGGUUGAGAGACUGAGAGACGCUUUUAUGAGAAUGAGAGAGUUUUUGAGUAUUUCCUGCUUCUUGCAGUCUGGUGGUUUUGGGAAACAUAGGAAAGUGGAAGAGUGUUUCUGCUUUGUUUGUUGUGCACGUUUUAACGUUUGCGCAGCGAUGAAGUGGGAUGUUGGUUCUUUGAGAGUGUGAAUAGGUUGGUGCAUCAUCUGCGUGUGCCGUUCUCGGGUUGGUCUGACCCUUUGUACCUUUGGUACAAUGCUAAGAGAAUGGCGUGAGCAUUCAGAUGGUGAAGAAUUAAGAGUGUGUCUGACACUGCAAAUAUGAGCAGAAGUCGGCAGCAUCUUAGGGUGUGGCUGGUUUCUGUGCAUGUGUUACAGAGCCUUGAGUAUUUCUCUUUGAGUGUGUGAGAAUGAGAAGGGCGUUCGGUGGAUGCCUUGGCA
RNAcentral lists this transfer RNA (783 nucleotides) under Neokomagataea thailandica. Its description in RNAcentral is "partial miscellaneous RNA". The stretch from base 148 to 221 matches the Rfam family "tRNA". Lineage: Bacteria; Pseudomonadati; Pseudomonadota; Alphaproteobacteria; Acetobacterales; Acetobacteraceae. The record is from RNAcentral.